AACCCAGCCUCAGUUUUCCAGGAGGACCCCAUCUCCCUCAGCUAGCAGGUCUGUGUCCUGCCCUCGGGUCCAGGUGCCUAGGAAGCUCCCCCCUCCACAGAAGCCGUAUCUCCCCCUCCCCCCAUUCUAUCCCCAGACCUGGCAUCUUGGCCAUCCCCCAUGUCUCCCUGUCCUCAGACUCCCCUGCAGAUGGCUGUGUGCAGACCUUGGCAGGAGUGGGCUGGCAGGCAGUGUCGCUGCUUCCCAGGCAGACAUGUAUAUAGCAAGUCUGUUUAUCAGGCAACGCCUUGCUGUAGCCAGAGGUGGUGGCUUAGCAGUGGCAGAAACGCCUGGGUUGCCUCACAAGCUUUGGGUUACUAAGGUGUGCCCUUGGCCUCAGCAGGCAGAUAAGCACCUGCAUUGGAGAAGGAGCCCUUGAUCACGGGCAGAUAAGCUGAGGAAAGGAUACAAAAAAAAACCCCAACAACAACAAGAAGCCGAGC
Molecule: long non-coding RNA, 482 nt
Filed under: Lynx pardinus (Iberian lynx)
Lineage: Eukaryota; Metazoa; Chordata; Mammalia; Carnivora; Felidae
Source: RNAcentral